This 253-nucleotide ribosomal RNA is filed under the name uncultured bacterium. RNAcentral's name for it is "partial 16S ribosomal RNA". It matches the Rfam family "Bacterial small subunit ribosomal RNA", at positions 524 to 776 of the family's 1533-position model. The record is from RNAcentral.
UACGUAGGGGGCGAGCGUUGUCCGGAUUUAUUGGGCGUAAAGAGCGUGUAGGCGGCCAGGUAGGUCUGCUGUGAAAACUCGAGGCUCAACCUCGAGACGUCGGCGGAAACCAUCUGGCUAGAGUCCGGAAGAGGAGAGUGGAAUUCCUGGUGUAGCGGUGAAAUGCGCAGAUAUCAGGAAGAACACCCGUGGCGAAGGCGGCUCUCUGGGACGGUACUGACGCUGAGACGCGAAAGCGUGGGGAGCAAACAGG